Molecule: long non-coding RNA, 2287 nt
Organism: Marmota monax (woodchuck)
Lineage: Eukaryota; Metazoa; Chordata; Mammalia; Rodentia; Sciuridae
Exons: 3
Source: RefSeq, a predicted model, not a curated record
UGAACCCAGGCCAGACACAUGCAUGCUGAUACUGAUUAUUUGUGUUCUUUGGCAGAGGCACUAGAGAAGCGUUAUAAUUCAGCUGUGCGUGGAGAGAGAACGAUUAUGCAUAUGUAACUUCCACUUGGUUAUCUACAGAUGUUGGAGAAUGCAGUCCACCCAACUUUUCUGUUUCUGGCAUCCGCCUCUCUGGUGGGUCUCAGGUCCUACUCUGUUCCUGCCCCCCUUGCUUUCUACACUGAGCCUCCCUGGCAUAUGCUCUCUCCUGUCACAGGCAUUUGGCACAUGCUGCUACUUCUAUCUGGAAUGUUCUUCACAGGCCUGCCCAUGCCUCUUGACCUAGUCAGCUUUGCUCUUCCUUCAGAUGUCAGGUUGCUUCUCAGGGAAGCUCUUGAGCAAGUUUAACCCUCUACCACAGGGUCCAGGAUGCCUGAUACUUCUCCUUUGUAAGCACCUGUUACCGUUGCAAUUAUACGUUUCUCUGUGUGAUCUUUUAUAAAAACUGCUUCCUGAAGUGUAGUGUAGGUAUGUGUGCCAGCUUAUCGAUAUGUGGAUAUUUGUUUUAUUAUGAGUUAUGUGUUUAUUUUAAUGUGCAUUUUUUUAAAAAAAGUCUACAUAGUACUGGUAGUAAUGAACAACAUUUUGUGAACAUUUUAGGCCACCUUAUGAUGGGUCUAAAGUAGAUAAAACUAUGAAUCCACCUAUGCAAACCAUGUGAAUCAGGAGCACUGUGGUCCGGAAACAGGCAUAUGUGGCAAACAUUUUGGAAACAGAAUGAAAAUGACUGAAAUUUGGGAAAGAAUGCAUUCGUCAGUAUGUUUCCCCUCACAAAAAUAUCCUCCUGAUGACACUGUGAGGUUCAUACUGUUUGUAUUUACUCAGGAGGAGAUGGAGGCACAGACAGAGGCGAUACACAGCUACAUCACUCCCACCGAAGACCGGAAGCGUACGGAGGAUGCUUCUCUCAUCCUUGGAAGCCUUUGCUCUAGAUUCGGGACUCCUUCCAGCUGCCUGUGGUCAGUGAAGUUCAUUGAAUUCACUGGAAGGGAACUGGGAGCCUCUGGUCUUUCCCACAAGUCCUCCUGUCUUCAUUUAACUCUAAGAGUGUGGUCAUGAAAGAAGAGGCCAAAGAGCUUCCAUUGGGAUCCAGGCCCAGCCCUCUCCAGCCUCAUGUCACACCACCUGCUUGUUCAGUCACUCCAAGCUCUUUCUUGCCCCAGGAUCUUUGCACAUACUAAGCUCUCUGUCUGGUAACUUCUUCCUCUAGAUAGUCACAAGAUUGCUUCUCUCCUCCUCCGGGCCUCAACCUAAAUAUCCCCUCCUUGGAGACACCUUCUCCAAGUGUCUGAUGAAGUGCUGUGUGGCACUCUGUAUGGUGGGUCCUUUCACCCCACCCCUGCUGUGCCGGUACUUCCCUAGUCCCCACAUGGCUCUUUCUCAGACCCUUGAUUGCUUCUUUUGUGGCCCUUAACAUACAAUUAUUUGAUUAUUUAGGGGUUCAUUCAUUUGUUUCUGCCUUUCCAAGAGAAGGUACAUCUGAGAGGAAGGGCAGGAGUCCUGGCUGAUCUGUGCCUCCUUGCGUCCCCGGCCUCUCGCAGUGUCUUGUACAUGGGGGACAGACAGCAUCCACUUGCUGAAUGAAUGGUGUCAGGCAAAUGUUGGCAGAGAUGCUGCUGCUGGUCCCCCAUCAGUGACCUGUGAGUUUUUAACUGUGUUUCCAACAGUUCAAAGUGAGAUGGGAUCAAGAUGAGAGUCAAAAGGCUCGAGGCUGGCCUCUACCCCCAACAGCUGGCCAUGCUCCAUCCCCUCUCUGGGCCUCAGCCUCCUUGUCUGUACAAUGGAAAGAUUUUUCUUUCCCACGUACUGGGGAUUGAACCGUGGGGGCUCUCUAGCACUGGAAAACAUCCCCAGCCCUUUUUAUUUUUUUCAUUUUGAGGCAGGUCCUCACUAAAUUGAUGAGUCUGCUUUCAAUUUGCAAUCCUCCUGCCUCAGCCUCCCGAGUCUCUGGAAUCACAGGUGCACACCACAGCAACCAGCAGAACCACAUACUUUAUGAUUCCAUUUACAAGGAAGGCCCCAAAGAAACAAAUCUAUAAAUAUAGCAGCAGGUUAGUGGUAGCCAGGGUCUCCGCAGGGGUGGGAGUGGAGAUGGAGGAAUUAUAGUUAAGGGACAUGGGGUUUCUCUUUGAAAAUAUUCUCAAAUUGAUGGUGGCGAUGGCUGUCCAACUCUAUUAAGAAAAAAUGUAAGAAAAAAAAAACACUGGAUGAUAUAUUUUAAAUGGGUGAG